AUUUAUAUAGUUUAAUAAAAACAUUACAUUUUCAUUGUGAAAAUAAAAAAUUAUUUUUUAUAAAUA
This 66-nucleotide transfer RNA is filed under the name Coenonympha amaryllis. RNAcentral describes it as "tRNA-Glu". Lineage: Eukaryota; Metazoa; Arthropoda; Insecta; Lepidoptera; Nymphalidae. The record is from RNAcentral.